ACAAUAAUACUUUCUGCCUAUAACGCUCGUUGUUUGAGCUCUUAACGCUUGACUCAGGCCUUCGAGGUUUGGGGGCUUGAGCUUUCAAUAGGCCCGAGUUUUUAAAGCUUGAGGUCUCUAUGAAGCCCGAGUCUUAAAGACUUACUCUUAAAAAGCUCGAGUCGUUAAGGUUCUGAACCGUUUCUGAGCUCAAACCUUUAACGCUUCAGUCUUCAAAGCUUGAACCUUCAAGGUUUGCAAGUCUUUAAGAGGCCGGUAUCGAUUUUAGUCGCAAAAAUGUAAAAUUGAUAAAUUUAGUCGAUGAAAUUGUACACCUUUUGUUACGUAAUAGAAAUAACAAGUACUAGUAUCUAUUAGCACGUCUUCUUAUCAUGCACUUUUACAGAUAAUUUUUUUGAAAACAGACUCACUAAAUUAGUAAUGAUUUUUUUUCUGAUGGACGUUUAGGUAAACGCGCGUAAAGCACUGAUUUUGUCGAUCUUAUUUGUAAAUUUUGUAAAGUUUGGACUGCUAAAAAUGGUAAUUUUGUAUUACACAUAUCCUGUACUCCAAAUCUGAUACACUACAUUUUUGUUAUUAUGACUUUGAAGUAGUGUAAGUAAAUGAAAGUUAGACGAAAUCAAUUUUCUCCAGAAAUUACUUCAAAACAAGUGACAAUGUCUCUGAAAAUCGACUUAAUUUUAACGUAAUUUUGAUACUUAAACAAUCUACAACUUCUCCUGAAAUAGUUCUUACCUAUACAUCAUUUUGUAUAAUUUACCACCAUAAUUUUUUCAUUAAUUUUUAAAAACUGCCCCUUCUCGUCAUAUAUUACCGGUGACGCACGCUCGCGACCUCAUUAUUAAAAGGCAAGAUGAGAAAACGUGCUAAUAGAAACCAAUACUUGUUAUUUAGAUAUUAUGUAACAAAAGGUAUACAAUUUCAACGACUAAAUCUAUCAA
Cydia amplana is the source of this 941-nucleotide long non-coding RNA. RefSeq lists it as uncharacterized. The transcript has 2 exons. The record is from RefSeq and is a predicted model, not a curated record. NCBI's taxonomy places the organism in Eukaryota, Metazoa, Arthropoda, Insecta, Lepidoptera, Tortricidae.